This is a non-coding RNA of Sesamum indicum (sesame), 180 nucleotides long. The record is from RefSeq and is a predicted model, not a curated record. NCBI's taxonomy places the organism in Eukaryota, Viridiplantae, Streptophyta, Magnoliopsida, Lamiales, Pedaliaceae.
AAGAACAAAUUUCAAUUGACGAGAUGACUAAAGCUGAUGCAUUUGAGGAGAAUAAGUCUAUGGGCAUGAAGGAACAAGAGCUUCCAAGUACUGCAGUCCAUCAUACAAGCCAACAAACUGCAGCUUCAGUAAUACCUAAACCAUUCAAGCCACCCCGGUAUAAACAAAAAGUUGCACACA